Molecule: non-coding RNA, 164 nt
Organism: Plectropomus leopardus (leopard coralgrouper)
Lineage: Eukaryota; Metazoa; Chordata; Actinopteri; Perciformes; Serranidae
Source: RefSeq, a predicted model, not a curated record
UUUCCCGUCACUCAGGAUAUUAAAGGAGCGCCGGGACCUCGAGGACCAGACGGAGAAAACGGGCUGAGUGGAGAUCCAGGUGAACCGGGCCUGCCAGGACCGCCGGGAUCCCCCGGACUUCCUGGGAGUCCCGGGCAGUCGGGGUUAGCGGGAGAGAAGGUCAG